CCCGGUCACACUACACAACGAUAACGAUACGAUAAAUUGCAAACACGCGAUAAUUGUCAAAAAAAUUGUGUUAGUGUCCACACAACAACGAAAAUGGUAAAAUUAUCGUUAGACGAUAACGAUUUUAAAAUCGCUCACCUGAGCGAUUUUUUUUCAGUCGGACGAUAACGAUAAAUUUUUGACCAAUCAGCGCGCGUAUACAAGUUAUCGUAUCGCUAUCGUUGUGUAGUGUGACCUGG
Molecule: non-coding RNA, 239 nt
Organism: Paramuricea clavata
Lineage: Eukaryota; Metazoa; Cnidaria; Anthozoa; Malacalcyonacea; Plexauridae
Source: the annotation of a GenBank genome assembly